RNAcentral lists this ribosomal RNA (207 nucleotides) under uncultured bacterium. RNAcentral describes it as "partial 16S ribosomal RNA". It matches the Rfam family "Bacterial small subunit ribosomal RNA", at positions 1294 to 1500 of the family's 1533-position model. The record is from RNAcentral.
CGGAUUGCAGCCUGCAACUCGGCUGCAUGAAGCUGGAAUCGCUAGUAAUCGCAGAUCAGAAUGCCGCGGUGAAUACGUUCCCGGGUCUUGUACACACCGCCCGUCACACCAUGGGAGUCGGAAAUGCCCGAAGUCUGUGACCCAACCGAAAGGAGGGAGCAGCCGAAGGCAGGUCGGAUGACUGGGGUGAAGUCGUAACAAGGUAUC